AUACCUAGCAGGCCAAAAGUUGGGCAAAGAUGCUCUAAUAUUGAGCCACAGAUUCGGGCUAAGUCACCAAGUGUGGGUUUCCAAUGGGCUCACUCUGAUUUUGAGCAUCCCUGGGAAUGCAAGCACGGGGCCUGCUCCUCCCCAUGUCCUCACACCACAUUCUCUUGGCUCCUCAGCAGAUCCCCCAAAGGCUGUGGUGUUCCUAGAGCCUUCGUGGGAUAGGGUGCUCCGGGAUGACAGUGUGACUCUGAAGUGCCAGGGGGACUACUCUCCUGGAAACACAUCCACAGAGUGGUUUCACAAUGGGAGCCUCAUCUCAAGCCAGGACUCGAGCUACUUCAUUGCAGCUGCCAGAGUUGAGGACAGCGGAGAGUACAGGUGCCAGACAUCCCUCUCCACGCUCAGUGACCCGGUGCAGCUAGAAGUCCAUAACGGUGAGUCGGCGAAAAGGAAGAGGGAACUCACCAAUAAAGGGGUGAAACAAGGGGCCCUGAGAUACUUGGGAAGAGCCAGAAGAUGAUGUUCUUGGGGAUUAAAAUUAAGAUGAGAUAAUCUGUGGUCCCACUGAAUGAUAUCAGAGUGGUAGUCCUAGCUACAAGUAGGCCUUAGGCAAAAUGUCAAAGCCUGCCAUAUCAUAGAUAUAGGUCUGCUGCACUGCACAAUUCUAGAAAUCACUACACACAUUGAAUGCAUAUAGUGUGAAUGUGUCAUCCGGAGGUCAGGGCAUGAUGUUGAUAGCUACCUCCCAAAUCAUCCCUAAUGGUCUAGCACCAUAUCUAUCUCUCUCUCCUCCUAAAUGCCAUACUCGAACUUACACUUCAGCAUAAAUUUGGCAAUCUAUACCUUUCCCAACGGAGAUAUAUACAUGCUGAGC
Propithecus coquereli (Coquerel's sifaka) is the source of this 874-nucleotide RNA transcript. It is a transcript of the gene named low affinity immunoglobulin gamma Fc region receptor III pseudogene, with no coding region annotated. The record is from RefSeq and is a predicted model, not a curated record. NCBI's taxonomy places the organism in Eukaryota, Metazoa, Chordata, Mammalia, Primates, Indriidae. The transcript has a single exon.